UGUCGAUGAAGAGCGCAGCCAACUGUGUGAAUUAAUGUGAACUGCAUUCUGCUUUGAACAUCGACAUCUUGAACGCAUAUUGCGGCCACGGGUUAGCCUGUGGCCACGCCUGUCCGAGGGUCG
This 123-nucleotide ribosomal RNA is filed under the name Bivesicula unexpecta. RNAcentral's name for it is "partial 5.8S ribosomal RNA". It matches the Rfam family "5.8S ribosomal RNA", at positions 33 to 154 of the family's 154-position model. Rfam says of the family: 5.8S ribosomal RNA (5.8S rRNA) is a component of the large subunit of the eukaryotic ribosome. It is transcribed by RNA polymerase I as part of the 45S precursor that also contains 18S and 28S rRNA. The record is from RNAcentral. RNAcentral also lists the same sequence under 1 other name. Lineage: Eukaryota; Metazoa; Platyhelminthes; Trematoda; Azygiida.